AGGACGAACGCUGGCGGCGUGCUUAACACAUGCAAGUCGAGCGGAAAGGCCCUUCGGGGUACUCGAGCGGGCGACGGGUGAGUAACACGUGAGCAACCUGCCCCUGGCUCUGGGAUAGCCUCCGGAAACGGGGAUUAAUACCGGACAUUCUCCUCCUUCCGCAUGGUUGGUGGUGGAAAGUUUUUCGGCCAGGGAGGGGCUCGCGGCCUAUCAGCUUGUUGGCGGGGUAACGGCCCACCAAGGCGACGACGGGUAG
Molecule: ribosomal RNA, 256 nt
Filed under: uncultured bacterium
Lineage: Bacteria
Description: partial small subunit ribosomal RNA
Rfam family: Bacterial small subunit ribosomal RNA
Source: RNAcentral